GAUGAACGCUGGCGGCGUGCCUAAUACAUGCAAGUCGAGCGAACAGACGAGAGUGCUUGCACUCUCUGACGUUAGCGGCGGACGGGUGAGUAACACGUGGGUAACCUACCUAUAAGACUGGGAUAACUUCGGGAAACCGGAGCUAAUACCGGAUAAUAUUUAGCUUCGCAUGAAGCAAUAGUGAAAGACGGUUCUGCUGUCACUUAUAGAUGGACCCGCGGUGUAUUAGCUAGUUGGUGAGGUAACGGCUCACCAAGGCAACGAUACAUAGCCGACCUGAGAGGGUGAUCGGCCACACUGGGACUGAGACACGGCCCAGACUCCUACGGGAGGCAGCAGUAGGGAAUCUUCCGCAAUGGACGAAGGUCUGACGGAGCAAUGCCGCGUGAGUGAAGAAGGUUUUCGGAUCGUAAAACUCUGUUGUAAGGGAAGAACAAGUACGUUAGUAACUGAACGUACCUUGACAGUACCUUACCAGAAAGCCACGGCUAACUACGUG
Molecule: ribosomal RNA, 499 nt
Filed under: uncultured bacterium
Lineage: Bacteria
Description: partial 16S ribosomal RNA
Rfam family: Bacterial small subunit ribosomal RNA
Source: RNAcentral